UACGUAGGGACCAAGCGUUGUUCGGAUUUACUGGGCGUAAAGGGCGCGUAGGCGGCAAUUCAAGUCAGCUGUGAAAUCUCCGAGCUUAACUCGGAACGGUCAGCUGAUACUGUUUUGCUAGAGUGCAGAAAGGGCAACCGGAAUUCUUGGUGUAGCGGUGAAAUGCGUAGAUAUCAAGAGGAACACCUGAGGCGAAGGCGGGUUGCUAGGCUGACACUGACGCUGAUGCGCGAAAGCCAGGGGAGCGAACGGG
Molecule: ribosomal RNA, 253 nt
Filed under: uncultured bacterium
Lineage: Bacteria
Description: partial 16S ribosomal RNA
Rfam family: Bacterial small subunit ribosomal RNA
Source: RNAcentral